UGCGUAGGCGGGUCUUUAAGUCAGGGGUGAAAUCCUGGAGCUCAACUCCAGAACUGCCUUUGAUACUGAGGAUCUUGAGUUCGGGAGAGGUGAGUGGAACUGCGAGUGUAGAGGUGAAAUUCGUAGAUAUUCGCAAGAACACCAGUGGCGAAGGCGGCUCACUGGCCCGAUACUGACGCUGAGGACGAAAGCGUGGGGAGCGAAACA
RNAcentral lists this ribosomal RNA (207 nucleotides) under uncultured bacterium. RNAcentral's name for it is "partial 16S ribosomal RNA". It matches the Rfam family "Bacterial small subunit ribosomal RNA", at positions 568 to 775 of the family's 1533-position model. The record is from RNAcentral.